This 489-nucleotide ribosomal RNA is filed under the name uncultured bacterium. Its description in RNAcentral is "partial 16S ribosomal RNA". It matches the Rfam family "Bacterial small subunit ribosomal RNA", at positions 30 to 506 of the family's 1533-position model. The record is from RNAcentral.
AUUGAACGCUGGCGGCAGGCCUAACACAUGCAAGUCGAAUGGUAACAGGAAACAGCUUGCUGUUUCGCUGACGAGUGGCGGACGGGUGAGUAAUGUCUGGGAAACUGCCUGAUGGAGGGGGAUAACUACUGGAAACGGUAGCUAAUACCGCAUAACGUCGCAAGACCAAAGAGGGGGACCUUCGGGCCUCUUGCCAUCAGAUGUGCCCAGAUGGGAUUAGCUAGUAGGUGGGGUAACGGCUCACCUAGGCGACGAUCCCUAGCUGGUCUGAGAGGAUGACCAGCCACACUGGAGCUGAGACACGGUCCAGACUCCUACGGGAGGCAGCAGUGGGGAAUAUUGCACAAUGGGCGCAAGCCUGAUGCAGCCAUGCCGCGUGUAUGAAGAAGGCCUUCGGGUUGUAAAGUACUUUCAGCGGGGAGGAAGGGAGUAAAGUUAAUACCUUUGCUCAUUGACGUUACCCGCAGAAGAAACACCGGCGAACUCCGU